ACGGCUUGUACCCUCCUAAUACUCCCCACCCCACCCCUUUCCCCCACUGGACACACUGUGCUUAAGCUGACGAAUAAGCUUGACACCCAUCUCCUGAUAGCACCCCCAUGGUUAGGUGUGUGCCCCACCCUGUGUCCAAAAUUUCCCAGUCCAUGGUCUUGAACUGCAAUGCCUUGCUUGUAGCAUUUCCUAUUCUAAGGCUAUUCCCCCUGUCCCCCCUCCCCGCCCAGUGUAAUUAACAAAAUGGGUCAGAGGUUAAUCACCAUGUUCUUUUGCCCCUUCCAGAAGACCCUUUUGUGUUUUCCCGACACUGACUUCGGAGACCGCCCCUCUAAGCAGAGGGCCAUGUCGCCUGCUGCGUGUUGCUGCAUCUAGACCCGUAACGCCCACUUCAGAAUGGGAGGGAGGAUGUCUGCUGCCCUGUCGUCUCCACACCCGAGGAAUGUCCGUGUGUGUGGUGUGCACAGCGGGCUGCACACAGCGGGCUCCACGGUGCUCGAAUGGAGGCCCUAAUGUGAAUGGAGACUAGCCUGCUGGUAGAGACCUUGGCAGUGACCGCUGUGGGCAAUGAGCCAUGGGCCAACAAUAUUCAAUGCUGUGUACCUGAUGGAUGGUUACUGUCUGAGACUGAGGUUUUUUGGGCCAGGAGUAAAAGGACUUGGGUAAGUUCAAUGUUUGGGGUCCUGGUGUGUUGAGUGAUUUGUGCCAUGCGUGGGUAGGUUCACCUCAAAAGGAUGAAUAACAUCUACCAACAGGCAUAAAAGCAAAGGUUAGGCAGGAACGAUAGCUGAUGGCUCACUCUUCUUAUUCUAGUACUGGGGAGACUGAGGCAGGAGGAUUGUUUAUAGCCGUCCUGGGCUACAUAUUGGGAUCUUAUCUAAGAGAGAGAAAGAAAACAGACUCCAAACCAAAACCAAAUAGCUGUAGACAAAACCAGACAAAGCAAAACAAAACCUAAAAGGAGCAUUAAAAGGAUGCCAUGAUUGGAGAAGAUGUGAAGUGUUUUUAGCACAGAUGUGACAAUCACAUAGUGCAGAUAUUAGCUAGCUAGAAAUUAGUCAUUUUGUGGUGUUUAAGUCCUUGAAACAUUAUGUGCACACUUAAUGUGCACAAUUUUAUCUUUCAGUUAUAAAAGCAAACCAAGAACAAAAUGAAACAAGCUGCCAGGUGUCAGCUGUUGGUGGGUUUGAGAUUGACUGGUUUUACCCUAACCCAGGUCCUCUAGAGAUAAGUCUGAGGGCUGUCACAUUUGUCCACACAGUCUUCUCAAAGGCUAUUCUGUCUUUAUGUGAUUCUAGCCCAUCAGUAGAGAUCUGAGUAACUUAGCGGGGUCCUCAAUGUGGUCUGUGGCUCUCCAGCUUCGCAGUCUGUUGGGUACCCUCUCGCCCCAUUGAAUGAAUAGCAGUGUGGGAAGAAGCAAUGUGAUUGUGAUUGGGUAAUUUAUCUACCUGGGCCUUAGGUCCAAUUAAUAUGGCACCUUAUUUACCUGCUCUGUGAACAUGAGCAGGACAAGAGCAAAAAGAUUUUGGUUUUUUUUUUUUUUUUUUUUUUUUUUUGGAUUUCUGUGAUUCAUGGGCACUAAGAUUUUUAAUUAGAGAAACUCUGAAUGAAGAAAAAAAAAUCAGUAAAUUAUGCAGAAACAGUCGUAAACAUACAGAUAAAUAAAUGAGGCAAACGCAUUGAGCGUGAAUCA
Molecule: long non-coding RNA, 1693 nt
Filed under: Mus spicilegus (steppe mouse)
Lineage: Eukaryota; Metazoa; Chordata; Mammalia; Rodentia; Muridae
Description: lncRNA (ENSMSIG00000007300.1)
Source: RNAcentral